Molecule: ribosomal RNA, 433 nt
Filed under: uncultured bacterium
Lineage: Bacteria
Description: partial 16S ribosomal RNA
Rfam family: Bacterial small subunit ribosomal RNA
Source: RNAcentral
AACGAACGCUGGCGGCAUGCCUAACACAUGCAAGUCGAACGAGACCUUCGGGCCUUGUGGCGCACGGGUGCGUACCGCGUGGGAACCUGCCCUUAGGUUCGGUAUAACUCCCCGAAAGGGAUGUUCAUACCGGAUAAUGUCUUAGGACCAAAGAUUUAUCGCUUCUGGAUGGGCCCGCGUUGGAUUAGCUAGUUGGUAGGGUAAAAGCUUACCAAGGCGACGAUGCAUAGCUGGUUUGAGAGGAGGAUCAGCAACGCUGGAACUGAGACACGGCCCAGACUCCUACGGGAGGCAGCAGAGGGUAAUAUUGGACAAUGGGGGAAAGCCUGAUCCAGCAGUGCCGCGUGAGUGGUGAAGGCCUUAGGGUUGUAAAGCGCUUUUACCCGGGAUGAUAAUGACAGUACCGGGAGAAUAAGCUCCGGCUAACUCCGUG